Molecule: ribosomal RNA, 783 nt
Filed under: uncultured Crater Lake bacterium CL120-107
Lineage: Bacteria
Description: bacterial SSU rRNA
Rfam family: Bacterial small subunit ribosomal RNA
Source: RNAcentral
GAACGCUGGCAGUAUGCUUAACACAUGCAAGUCGUACGCAUCUUUUCAGCAAUGAAAAAAUGAGUGGCGGACGGGUGAGUAACACGUAAGAAUCUUCCGGAAGGAGAGGUAUAACCUUUGGAAACGAUGGGUAAUCCCUUAUAUGACGCUAGUUGAAAUGGCGCUUCAAUUUAUUGAUGCGUCGCCUUUUGAUGAGCUUGCGUCUGAUUAGCUAGUUGGUGAGGUAAAGGCUCACCAAGGCGACGAUCAGUAGCUGGUUUGAGAGAAUGAUCAGCCACACUGGGACUGAGACACGGCCCAGACUCCUACGGGAGGCAGCAGUGAGGAAUUUUUCGCAAUGGGCGCAAGCCUGACGGAGCAAUACUGCGUGGAGGAUGAAGGCUCGUGGGCUGUAAACUCCUUUUCCUCGAGAAGAAGUUCUGACGGUAUCGGGGGAAUAAGCAUCAGCUAACUGCGUGCCAGCAGCUGCGGUAAUACGUGGGAUGCAAGCGUUAUCCGGAUUUAUUGGGCGUAAAGCGUCUGUAGGUGGCUUCCAAGUUUGUUGGUAAAUCAUUCAGCUUAACUGAAUUCAAGCAGCAAAAACUAUGAAGCUUGAGUGCCGUAGAGGAAGAAGGAAUUCCUGUGGAGCGGUGAAAUGCCUAGAGAUAGGGAAGACACCACGGCGAAAGCACUCUUCUGGCCUGCACUGACACUAAGAGACGAAGCUAGGGGAGCGAGUAGGAUUAGAUACCUAUUAGUCCUAGCCUAACGAUGGAACUACAUUUGGGGCUCUAUGGCUUUGGC